GGAGGAAAGCAGGGGAUCGCAAGACCUCAUGCUCGUGGAGCGGCCGAUAUCCGAUUAGCUAGUUGGUAGGGUAAAAGCCUACCAAGGCAUCGAUCAGUAGCUGGUCUGAGAGGACGACCAGCCACACUGGAACUGAGACACGGUCCAGACUCCUACGGGAGGCAGCAGUGGGGAAUUUUGGACAAUGGGCGAAAGCCUGAUCCAGCAAUGCCGCGUGAGUGAAGAAGGCCUUCGGGUUGUAAAGCUCUUUUGUCAGGGAAGAAACGGUGAAAGCUAAUAUCUUUUGCUAAUGACGGUACCUGAAGAAUAAGCACCGGCUAACUACGUGCCAGCAGCCGCGGUAAUACGUAGGGUGCAAGCGUUAAUCGGAAUUACUGGGCGUAAAGCGUGCGCAGGCGGUUUUGUAAGUCUGAUGUGAAAUCCCCGGGCUCAACCUGGGAAUUGCGUUUGAAACUACAAGGCUAG
RNAcentral lists this ribosomal RNA (465 nucleotides) under uncultured Pseudomonadota bacterium. RNAcentral's name for it is "bacterial SSU rRNA". It matches the Rfam family "Bacterial small subunit ribosomal RNA", at positions 198 to 644 of the family's 1533-position model. Lineage: Bacteria; Pseudomonadati; Pseudomonadota. The record is from RNAcentral.